CCUGAUCCAGCCAUGCCGCGUGUGUGAUGAAGGCCUUAGGGUUGUAAAGCACUUUCAGAAGUGAAGAAAGGCGUUGGGUGAAUAAUCUGACGUUUUGACGUUAGCUUCAGAAGAAGCACCGGCUAACUCCGUGCCAGCAGCCGCGGUAAUACGGAGGGUGCAAGCGUUAUCCGGAAUCACUGGGUUUAAAGGGUGCGUAGGCGGUUGCGUAAGUCAGAAGUGAAAGCUCACAGCUUAACUGUGGAAUUGCUUUUGAUACUGCGCGACUAGAAUCAGGUUGAGGUU
RNAcentral lists this ribosomal RNA (285 nucleotides) under Alexandrium tamarense. Its description in RNAcentral is "partial Bacterial small subunit ribosomal RNA". It matches the Rfam family "Bacterial small subunit ribosomal RNA", at positions 382 to 659 of the family's 1533-position model. The record is from RNAcentral. Lineage: Eukaryota; Dinophyceae; Gonyaulacales; Pyrocystaceae.